RNAcentral lists this ribosomal RNA (253 nucleotides) under uncultured bacterium. RNAcentral's name for it is "partial 16S ribosomal RNA". It matches the Rfam family "Bacterial small subunit ribosomal RNA", at positions 524 to 776 of the family's 1533-position model. The record is from RNAcentral.
UACGGAGGGUGCGAGCGUUGAUCGGAAUAACUGGGCGUAAAGGGCACGCAGGCGGGCUUUUAAGUGAGGUGUGAAAUCCCCGGGCUUAACCUGGGAAUAGCAUUUCAGACUGGGAGUCUAGAGUACUUUAGGGAGGGGUAGAAUUCCACGUGUAGCGGUGAAAUGCGUAGAGAUGUGGAGGAAUACCGCCUGCGAAGGCAGCCCAUUGGGAAUGUACUGACGCUCAUGUGCGAAAGCGUGGGGAGCAAACAGG